GACGCGCGAGCGCCAGUCAGCCACAGUUCUGCACAUUUUUGUUUGAUUUUAGCCUUGUCAGAGGGAAGUUAUUCUGCCGUGCGUUGGCUCAUCCUUGUUUUCAAGGAGUGUUAAAGCAGUGGCCGCCACGGGACGUAUGCGCUGGACUUCACUGAUGACCGCGUUGGUGUAGGGCAUGCUGGGACGGUCUUCGCAAGAAGGCUGACGGUCACUUGCCACCACUUCACUGAUCUCCAACUGGAUCUGCGUGCCACAUUAGGCAACGAGGUAAAGUAAAGACCCCCGCGGGACGCAUGCGUUGUACUUCAUUGAUGACCGCGUUGGUGUAGGGCAUGCUGGGA
This is a long non-coding RNA of Acanthaster planci (crown-of-thorns starfish), 341 nucleotides long. RefSeq lists it as uncharacterized. The record is from RefSeq and is a predicted model, not a curated record. NCBI's taxonomy places the organism in Eukaryota, Metazoa, Echinodermata, Asteroidea, Valvatida, Acanthasteridae.